RNAcentral lists this ribosomal RNA (253 nucleotides) under uncultured bacterium. RNAcentral describes it as "partial 16S ribosomal RNA". It matches the Rfam family "Bacterial small subunit ribosomal RNA", at positions 524 to 775 of the family's 1533-position model. The record is from RNAcentral.
UACGUAGGGCGCAAGCGUUAUCCGGAAUUAUUGGGCGUAAAGAGCUCGUAGGCGGUUUGUCGCGUCUGCCGUGAAAGUCCGGGGCUCAACUCCGGAUCUGCGGUGGGUACGGGCAGACUAGAGUGAUGUAGGGGAGACUGGAAUUCCUGGUGCAGCGGUGAAAUGCGCAGAUAUCAGGAGGAACACCGAGUGGCGAAGGCAGGUCUCUGGGCAUUAACUGACGCUGAGGAGCGAAAGCAUGGGGAGCAACAGG